Molecule: ribosomal RNA, 572 nt
Filed under: uncultured Acidobacteriota bacterium
Lineage: Bacteria; Pseudomonadati; Acidobacteriota
Description: bacterial SSU rRNA
Rfam family: Bacterial small subunit ribosomal RNA
Source: RNAcentral
GGAGAGUCAGUCGUACAGGUGGCAACAGAGGGGAAUUAUGCGCAAUGGGGGUAACCGGGAUGCAGCAUCGCUGCGUGGAGGAUGAAGUCCUUUGGCAUGUAAACUCCUUUGGAUAAGGACGAUAAUGGUGGUACCGAGAGAAGAAGCCCAGGCGAAGUUCGUGCCCGCAGUCGCGGUAAUAUGAGGGGGGCCAGCGUUGUUUGGAAUUAUUCGGCGUAAAGGGUGCGUUGUCGGUUUGGUAAGUUUGAUGUGAAAUAUCUGGGCUCAACUCAGAGUCUGCAUCGGAAACUGCCGGGCUUGAGUGUGGGAGAGGUGAGUGGAAUUCACGGUGUAGCAGUGAAAUGUGUAGAUAUUCGGAAGAACACCAGUGGCGAAGGCAGCCGAUUGGCCUGGUAUUGACGCUCAGGCACGAAAGGUAGGGGAGCAAACAGGAUUAGAUACCCUGGCAGUCCUAGCCAUAAACGAUGAGUGCCAGGUGUGACGGGUACCCAAACCCGCCGGGCCGUAGCUACCGCGUUAAGCAGUCCGCCUGGGGAGUACGGUCGCAAGGCUGAAAGUUAAAGGAAUUGACG